CCUACGGGAGGCAGCAGUGAGGAAUAUUGGUCAAUGGGCGGAAGCCUGAACCAGCCAAGUAGCGUGCAGGAUGACGGCCCUACGGGUUGUAAACUGCUUUUAUACGGGAAUAACGCGCCUUACGUAUAGGGCUUUGCAUGUACCGUAUGAAUAAGGACCGGCUAAUUCCGUGCCAGCCGCCGCGGUAAUACGGAAGGUCCGGGCGUUAUACGGAUUUAUUUGGUUUAAAGGGAGCGUAGGCAGCAUGGCCAUCGUGCUGUGAAAUGUCCGGGCUCAACCCGGGCCUUGCUGCGCGAACUGGCGUGCUUGAGUCCGCGGAAAGCAGGCGGAAUUCGUGGUGUAGCGGUGAAAUGCUUAGAUAUGACGAAGAGCCCCGAUUGCGAAGGCAGCUUGCUGCAGCGGAACUGACGCUGAUGCUCGAAAGCGCGGGUAUCGAACAGGAUUAGAUACCCUGGUAGUC
This 460-nucleotide ribosomal RNA is filed under the name uncultured bacterium. RNAcentral's name for it is "partial 16S ribosomal RNA". It matches the Rfam family "Bacterial small subunit ribosomal RNA", at positions 338 to 795 of the family's 1533-position model. The record is from RNAcentral.